Molecule: ribosomal RNA, 379 nt
Filed under: uncultured cyanobacterium
Lineage: Bacteria; Bacillati; Cyanobacteriota
Description: bacterial SSU rRNA
Rfam family: Bacterial small subunit ribosomal RNA
Source: RNAcentral
CGAAAGCCUGACGGAGCAACGCCGCGUGAGGGACGAAGGCCUCUGGGCUGUAAACCUCUUUUCUCAAGGAAGAAGACCUGACGGUACUUGAGGAAUAAGCCACGGCUAAUUCCGUGCCAGCAGCCGCGGUAAUACGGGAGUGGCAAGCGUUAUCCGGAAUUAUUGGGCGUAAAGCGUCCGCAGGCGGCCGAUCAAGUCUGCUGUUAAAGCGUGGAGCUUAACUCCAUAAUGGCAGUGGAAACUGAUUGGCUGGAGUGUGGUAGGGGCAGAGGGAAUUCCCGGUGUAGCGGUGAAAUGCGUAGAUAUCGGGAAGAACACCAGUGGCGAAGGCGCUCUGCUGGGCCAUAACUGACGCUCAUGGACGAAAGCCAGGGGAGCG